GGGACCUCUCCGACCUUUCUACUAGGAGACUAUGCUGGUUCUGAAAUUAUGAUCAUAUAUUUAUGAAGUUCUUUUUUUCUUGAACUCAUGUUCUUUUUAUUCUGUCGAUCAGGUACUUCAUGGCAGCGCUGUGGACAGCAUCACCGUAACCACAUUGAUGGUCCAAGUCCCAGCUCACAACAUCACUUUUUAGUUCUGCUGUGAGCACCUCAACAGCUCAACGUCAGCUAUUAUUGAUGUAGCUGCAUAUAGUCAUUCUAUGAUCUAUUUUGGCUACCAUCAUUUUUAGGUGGGCCGUGAGCACCUCAACCACUCAAUAUGAUCUAUACCAUGAUUUAUGAAAUGAGUUGUUUAUGUUAAUCUUUGCUUGUGCUUCUUAUUACAUAGUGAUAAAGUGUCUUCUAUUUAUGUACUCUUCCUUACAAUCCCAGUUAUCCAUGUUUAUGUACAUGUCUUCUGUCUCUGAUUUGCAGGUUGUUAUGCUGGUUUUCUCUAAGCUUGAAAUAUACGUAGCCUAUAUAUCUACAAAAAGGGAUCAAGAACUAUAUGUGGGCUACUCAUUAUAGUCGCUGUCGAUAUUAACUCUUUUGCAUGUUUGCAUCUGAAUCAAUCAUCUGCUCUCUACUAAAUGUAUGUGAGCUACUCAUUUGGUUAUAUAUGAGCUACUCAUUUGGUUAUACUGUGUAAAUAGGAAUCAAUAAUAAAAGUAGAUGGUACAAAGUUGUGCCCCCUAGCUUUUUUCCCAUUGGUCUUGCUAAGCAAGUUAAUGUAUAUCUUCAUUUAUAUAGCAUCUCUACCGUUCCAAUAUGUUUAGCUAUAUAUGUUCACUUGGUCCCUUAGUUACUUCCUCGGCCCUCUUGGCUGCCACCGAAUAGAUUUUUAUAUUUUUGUAUAUCUUGCUCAGCGUCCUAUGCUCCAUAUACGCUUUCCUAUAUAUUUAUAAAUUUUCAUCUGCAUUAAAGUGAUACAUAUAUGUGAUGAUUUCUGACUUGACUUAUGCUAGGAUUAAUCCUGCAGCAAUCGGUAUAGUCAGUGUUGUCUGGAUGUGUUGUACCAUAUUAGAUUAUGUGUUCUGCCCAGCAGGGAUUAUUUAUCGAUGCUUCUUGGUGUAUCUAGAGAGUCUGAUUAGAGAGAAGUCAGUUCACAUCUCAGUGGCUUUUGUUGUUUAAUUUACACAACAUGUGCAGGUUCAUAUAGCAGUAUGCAUGUGUGAAUAUAAACUCUUCAUGCAAUGUGGCAGUAAAAGGCCUUUCGAUUUUACCUUAGGCACUACAGGCAGCUAAUAGAUAGGCCCAUUGCUUGCAUGAUGAUAAGUUUUGAACUGACGGUGUUCUUGACAAUAGUUGCAUCAGUGCACACGAGGUCCAAAGAAGCAUUGUUUCAUGUUUCAUUUACUUUUCUAUUGCAAUCACUCAUCCAAAAAGAAUAUUCAGUGCACCUGUAAAACAUCUAACAAAAAUAAUCAUAGACCCUUCUUUCUAAAUCAGAAUAUAACAGUACUAAAUCAGCUAGAUGGGUUGUAGAUGCUUUGUUACUCAAUGAUAGGAAAAAAUGUUAGCUGCGCUCUUGACCUACCUACCAGCUACUGACCGCCCUAUCCAUUUCCCUCUCCAAGUUCAUAUACUUUCUUUGUUGGCCCAAGACACAAAGCAAGUUCUGCGUUUGUUGUGUUCAUUCGUUCCUGAUCAACGAUUUUCUUUUCCAGAUGACCCAUUUGGUUUCCACUCCGUUACUUUCUACUUUGCUGAUAGAAAUUGAAGGAUCUGCGUGUUUGUAAUCUUAGAACUUUCGGUCAUUUUAGAACUUUCGGUCAUUUGUAAUCUCUCCAUGGCGCUUGCCGCUCUGACAGCGAUUUUGAAACAAUUAUUACCUGAUAAAAGAUGAAAGUAGAAUGCUUAUGUUAUUUAAUUUUGUCCGUUCAUGCUUAUCCUUUUGGGUACUUCUGAAGGAACUUUUGGGUUGUUUCCUACCCACUAAUAUUAUUUAUCAGAAAAUUCUUUAUUGAAAUCUUGAAUAAGGGAACUAUAAUAAUGCAGAUAAAUAAGAUUUUUUUUCUUAUUUUACAAACAGGUGCAUGUUAUGAUUAUUGUGUUGGGGUGCAAGGCGCAACUCCGACGUGGUUCCUCACCGGUUGGACGGCGUUCAGGCGCAACCCCGGCGCCCACUGAGUACUGCCUCGGCUAUAACCUCCCCCGGUGAGAUCCAUCUUCCUCCUGCUCCUCUGCUUCGGCAACUGCAUGGGACAUGGCCGUGGCUAUAUUGAUGUUGUGCUCUUCUCAUUGAUGCUCUAUGGCCUACUCAUGCAUCGGUUCCUACUCGGGCUCUGUAGUUGUCGAUCCAUGCUAUUAUAGGGUUUGCAGGUUGCUGUUAGUGAUCAAUUGCUAUCAUAGGAGCUCCUGUGAUGCUCUGGUUUACAUGUGGAUGCCCUGGUCCUAUAGCUGUGCUCCUGGAUUUGCUUGAUUGAUCAGUGGCGUUCGUGCUAGGGCGAUGAUGAUUAACCGUGGCUGAAAUAAGUGUGCCUUUGAGCGAUCGAGGUACCUGUCGGUAUCAAGUUGGAUCCUCCCUCUUGUCUCUAGAAUCCUUUUUGAUAUUGUGAUACUUGUUGUUCUGUCCUUGGAUGGUCAUUCUUGUUGAGUGAUAACCAGGACAGAUCCACUGUAUCCCAUCCCCUUGUUAGAGUCUGAAGCAAAAUGGAGCUCUCCCGUUCGUUUGGAUUCUCGACCGUUCGAUUGUCUGUCCAAACGAAUCCCGGCCGUCCGAUCUUCAGAUGAAACAAUCUGGACCGUUGGAUCUCAGACAGGGCCGGUCUCGUCCGUCGGGUCGAAAACGAGACCGCUGCAAUGCCCUGGUCGCGCCACCGCGCGUGAAUAGCCUGCCCCGCCGAUGUCGUUCUUGUCAUUUCAUCCAUAGGCGUAUAAAACCAGCACACCCAUGGUGACCCUAGCUGCCUCUCUCUUCCUCCCGCCCCUCACGCCACCACCCUACCUCCUGUUCAUGCUCAGUUGCUAUCAUAGGAGCUCCUGUGAUGCUCUGGUUUACAUGUGGAUGCCCUGGUCGUAUAGCUAUGCUCCUGGAUUUGCUAGAUCGAUUAGUGGCGUUCGUGCUAGGGCGAUGUUGAUUAACCGUGGCUGAAAUAGGUGUGCCUUUAAGCAAUCGAGGCACCUGUGGGUAUCAAGUUGGAUCCUCCCUCUUGUCUCUAGACUCCUUUUUGAUCCUGUGAUACCUAUUGACCUGUCCUUGGAUGGUCAUUCUUGUUGAGUGAUAACCAGGGCGGCUCCAUUGUAUAAACAGAUUGAUGUGGUGAUAAGAGAUGAGGCGGGUAGGUUAUAUGAUCGAGGAAAGCUGAAUCUGAGCCCACUAUGCAAUGAACCCUGAACCCUUUUUAUUUGUAUUUAAAGGUGUUGCUUAUUUAUGCUCCAGUGUUUAUAACCGUCUUAUGUAAGGAUUUCUUCUCUCUCAUACCUUUAUUGCAUAUGAGUUGUUCUUGAUCUUUUAUUGUUUGUUGGGGGCUUUCUUGUUUUGUUGGGGGCUUUCUUGUUUGGUUGGUGCCUUACCGUCAAGCAGAUCCUUGGAUUUAGCUAGGUUAUCUGUUUCAUUGCUUGGUUUUUUGCCUGUUAAAGAGAAGCUUAGGUCUAUAUGGAUUCCUGAGGUAAUAUCCAUUGUUUCUCAUAGUUUAGUUACAACUGAUUUCCGAGUUCUAACUCCUUCAUGUUAUUUCAUUAUUUCUCCUCUUUGUACCGCUAUUUAUUUCAAAUUCUGAAAUAAGGACGGCCUUGGUGGCUGUAUUUACUUGCGCUUUGUUUAUAUAUGAUUGGUAUUAGAUUCUUUGAGAAAAUUUGUUGUUACAUUAGUGGUCUAGCUAGAUUGCAAGAAAGGGGCUGUAUCUUCCCUUUCGGUGCUCAGCGGGAGGAGUGCGCUCGCCGCCGGCCCUGACGAGAGGUGUCGCCGCCCUGGUCAGAUUUGGCCACCUCCACCACCACCCACUUACAGGAGGCCCCUGCCACUCCUCCUCCAUCGCAUGGUCAUCACUGGGAGGAGCAGCAGCUCUGCCUAGAGGCAUCGCCAUCAGCUAGAGGGCGUCGGACUCUCGUCCUUGCGUUCAUGCACCACUGGGAAGAAGACCCGAGGGGUUGGAUCCAAGAGGCAGAGAUGCAGUCCUCCAGAGAAGAAGAAGAAGAAGAAGAAGAAGAAGAAGAAGAAUUGCAAAGGAUGGCGAGAUUGAGCGUCUGAAGUAAAGCUCAGACCUACACAUGUCCAAGUGUCAGUCGCUUGAAUUGAUUGGGCAGAGGGACAUAGAUAUAAGAGAGAAGGAUGGUGUCAUUCAGAGCUACCAUUAUAAGACAGAUGGGGAGCUGAUGAACCCAGGGUCCUGACAGAUAUACCUCAUCUUCCCAACGGACAACACCUUCCUCGAGGAGGACGACUCCAACUACUUCAGCUAUCUCGGCUGUCCCGGCCUUUUAUGAAAGAUGAAUCAAUGAUUUAUGUCAGCACAAGCUACCGGCAGCUUCCUCGCGUGCAAUGCUAUUUGAAGACCAUUCAAGUGAUUUAAAAGAGAAGAUGUCCAGAAUGUCUAAGAAGAUUGAAGAUGAUGAUCAAAAGAUUGACAUAUUAAGCGAUUGCCAAGAUGUGAAUAAUGCUUGCCCCUGCCUUUAGUAAUACCUUGCUCUUCUUUAUGAAAUCUUUCCUAUUACAUAUUGAUGCAACAACUUGCAAAUUUUGAUAUCCCUAUUUACAUACAUUACUCAGCGGCUGACCUGUACAGAGUUGCGUGGCAGGCAUGUGUUCUCAGCCAUCUUAUCAAUUGUAGGCUUAGCAUAAUUUGCUUCGUCUAACAAUUCCUUUGUUUGUCCAUAUCGAUUCUGAUUUUAGAGGACACAUGUUUUGGUAGGAAGUGUAUUGUUCUUAUGUUUUUUCCGGGUAUAUGCUGAUUGAUGAAGUGACUGAUGUUCCAUAUUAUGAAAUCCCUAAUUAAUGGAUCGCUUGGUAGGUGUAUUUUAUGAAUGCAUAUGCUAAAUCUGGAUCACUGCUAACAUAGCAUUACCUGCUUGACAAAACGUUGACUGGGCUGGAUGACUGGAGGAGGUGUGCGGCAAGCUGGCACUUUCAAAUUUGAUUCAGUUCAU
Non-coding RNA from Triticum urartu, 5126 nucleotides. NCBI's taxonomy places the organism in Eukaryota, Viridiplantae, Streptophyta, Magnoliopsida, Poales, Poaceae. The record is from RefSeq and is a predicted model, not a curated record.